This 200-nucleotide ribosomal RNA is filed under the name uncultured bacterium. RNAcentral's name for it is "partial 16S ribosomal RNA". It matches the Rfam family "Bacterial small subunit ribosomal RNA", at positions 30 to 242 of the family's 1533-position model. The record is from RNAcentral.
AUUGAACGCUGGCGGCAGGCCUAACACAUGCAAGUCGAGCGGGGUUUUCGGACCUAGCGGCGGACGGGUGAGUAAUGCGUGGGAAGCUGCCCGAUAGAGGGGGAUACCAGUCGGAAACGACUGUUAAUACCGCAUAAUGUCUACGGACCAAAGUGUGGGACCUUCGGGCCACAUGCUAUCGGAUGCGCCUACGUGGGAUU